CCUACGGGAGGCAGCAGUGGGGAAUAUUGCACAAUGGGGGAAACCCUGAUGCAGCGACGCCGCGUGAGUGAAGAAGUAUUUCGGUAUGUAAAGCUCUAUCAGUAGGGAAGAAAAUGACGGUACCUGAUUAAGAAGCACCGUCUAACUACGUGCCAGCAGCCGCGGGAAUACGUAGGGGGCAAGCGUUAUCCGGAUUUACUGGGGGUAAAGGGAGCGUAGACGGGAGCACAAGUCUGGAGUGAAAGGCCUGGGCUUAACCCCGGAACUGCUUUGGAAACUGUGCAGCUAGAGUGCAGGAGAGGUAAGUGGAAUGCCUAGUGUAGCGGUGAAAUGCGUAGAUAUUAGGAGGAACACCAGUGGCGAAGGCGGCUUACUGGACUGUAACUGACGUUGAGGCUCGAAAGCGUGGGGAGCAAACAGGAUGAGAUACCCGAGUAGUC
RNAcentral lists this ribosomal RNA (440 nucleotides) under uncultured bacterium. RNAcentral's name for it is "partial 16S ribosomal RNA". It matches the Rfam family "Bacterial small subunit ribosomal RNA", at positions 338 to 795 of the family's 1533-position model. The record is from RNAcentral.